CCUACGGGAGGCAGCAGUAAGGAAUAUUGGUCAAUGGACGAAAGUCUGAACCAGCCAUGCCGCGUGGAGGAUGAAGGUCCUCUGGAUUGUAAACUUCUUUUAUAUGGGACGAAAAAAGGCUUUUCUAAGUCGUCUGACGGUACCAUAUGAAUAAGCACCGGCUAACUCCGUGCCAGCAGCCGCGGUAAUACGGAGGGUGCAAGCGUUAUCCGGAUUCACUGGGUUUAAAGGGUGCGUAGGUGGGUUGGUAAGUCAGUGGUGAAAUCUCCGAGCUUAACUUGGAAACUGCCAUUGAUACUAUUAAUCUUGAAUAUUGUGGAGGUUAGCGGAAUAUGUCAUGUAGCGGUGAAAUGCUUAGAUAUGACAUAGAACACCAAUUGCGAAGGCAGCUGGCUACGCAUAUAUUGACACUGAGGCACGAAAGCGUGGGGAUCAAACAGGAUUAGAUACCCUGGUAGUCCACGCCCUAAACUAUGGAUACUCGACAUUUGCGAUACACUGCAAGUGUCUGAGCGAAAGCAUUAAGUAUCCCACCUGGGAAGUACGAUCGCAAGAUUGAAACUCAAAUGAAUUGACGG
RNAcentral lists this ribosomal RNA (578 nucleotides) under uncultured bacterium. RNAcentral describes it as "bacterial SSU rRNA". It matches the Rfam family "Bacterial small subunit ribosomal RNA", at positions 338 to 916 of the family's 1533-position model. The record is from RNAcentral.